Molecule: ribosomal RNA, 440 nt
Filed under: uncultured bacterium
Lineage: Bacteria
Description: partial 16S ribosomal RNA
Rfam family: Bacterial small subunit ribosomal RNA
Source: RNAcentral
CCUACGGGAGGCAGCAGUGGGGAAUAUUGCACAAUGGGGGAAACCCUGAUGCAGCGACGCCGCGUGAGUGAAGAAGUAUUUCGGUAUGUAAAGCUCUAUCAGCAGGGAAGAAGAAAGACGGUACCUGACUAAGAAGCACCGGCUAACUACGUGACAGCAGCCGCGGUGAUACGUAGGGGGCAAGCGUUAUCCGGAUUUACUGGGUGUAAAGGGAGCGUAGACGGCUGUGCAAGUCUGAAGUGAAAGCCCAGGGCUCAACCCUGGGACUGCUUUGGAAACUGUGGAGCUAUGGUGCGGGAAAGGUAAGUGGAAUCCCUGGGGUAGCGGUGAAAUGCGUGGUUAUUAGGAGGAACACCUGUGGCGAGGGCGGCUUACUGGACAGUAACUGACGUUGAGGCUCGAAGGCGUGGGGAGCAAACAGGAUUAGAUACCCGGGUAGU